This is a long non-coding RNA of Panicum virgatum (switchgrass), 1384 nucleotides long. RefSeq lists it as uncharacterized. The record is from RefSeq and is a predicted model, not a curated record. The transcript is spliced from 4 exons. NCBI's taxonomy places the organism in Eukaryota, Viridiplantae, Streptophyta, Magnoliopsida, Poales, Poaceae.
CAUAUCAAUCGAUUGAGGGCUGCUUUGCUUGUUCGCUGCUGGCCCGCAUCGGUGGACUUUCACCGACGACGCCGUCGCCCCAUCACUAGAAAGUGUGAAAGCAGAUGGAUCCUCUGAAGAGUAAUACUAAAGACACGGGUUUAAUUGAAAAUGCCUGUCAGCGUAGAAGAGAACGGGAUAGAGCCCGUGCUGCCUUGAUGACAGAUGAGGAAAGGGAGAAAAAGAACAUGAAGCGGCGUGAGGCAUAUAAGAGGAAGCAGUGUCAUGUGCACAACAAGGAGAAGGAUACAGGUUUGCACCAUUUCGUGAUAAUGGUUGAGCAGUUAUUAGUGUACAUCUGAUGACUGAGUAAUCUGCAGUGGAUUUAAAUAUGAGUAAUCCUACUAAUAAUGCGGACGCAUCGUUUCUGCCAUGGCACCCCAUUCUAAUUGUUGAUUUCUAAAUUCGGGCUCUGCUUUGCUCAUACAAAAAAAUGAUAGAAUUCUGGCUCCCUUGAGGUCAAAUGAUGGAAGUAUUGGAAGAAGUAAGAAUCGCCGUGAAGAAAAAUGAUAGAAUUCUGGCUCCCUUGAGGUCAAAUGAUACCCCGGCUAAAACUACCCAGUGUGGACAGAGUGAAGAAAAACCCACACCCACUCGAUUGAAUGACUGCUGCUAUCUCAGGGCAAACCUACGCAAGAUAUGCCAAUGAUCAGGACAAGAUGAAUACAUAUUCCUGAUUGCCAUGCUAGAUAUGCCAAUGAGCAGAGAAGAAUUGACAGAAAUUUUAUGUGAUUAUAUAAUGUCAAUUGAAGAUGUUGGGACCUUGGAGAGAACUUGGUUGCGAAACUUCAAACCCUACAAGAUGGCAUUAACUGUCAAGGAACUUCAGAUGUCAUUGAGGAUUGAUCAACCAAUGUCCACAAGUUGUUUCAACAUGGGUGUGUGUAUCCUUGCAUACAAAGACUAUAAAGUGUUGCAAUAUUCCAAGUCUGUUAUGCCAACACAUUUUAUGGACCUCCGGUUCUGUGUGAGUAUUCACAGAGCAUUUAAUCACAGGUGUUUGACUGACUAUAUAGUUCUGCAAUAUAUGGCUGCCUGGAAGCAUGCGAGGACUACACCAAUAAGUGUGGAUGGACAAGCACUGAGUAUAUUAUGUUUUUCUAGGUUUAUGAUUUAGUCCAGCACAACAUGAUGCUUAUGACAAUCUUAACUACAGGAUGGACAAGCACUGAGGAAUUUUGUGAUUGACAUGCUGGCGUUCGAUGGAAACUCAUAUCGAAAAAUACUUCCUGAUUGUGUUAAGAAGUGUCUAACCCGCAUCACAGGAAAAAACAUUUGAAUUAGAUAUAUGAGAUAAAUUAUUCAAACUAUGCUUAUGAGAUUAUGGAUACUGUGAUUUUAGCCA